CCUGGUAGUCCACGCUGUAAACGAUGUCGACUUGGAGGUUGUGCCCUUGAGGCGUGGCUUCCGGAGCUAACGCGUUAAGUCGACCGCCUGGGGAGUACGGCCGCAAGGUUAAAACUCAAAUGAAUUGACGGGGGCCCGCACAAGCGGUGGAGCAUGUGGUUUAAUUCGAUGCAACGCGAAGAACCUUACCUACUCUUGACAUCCACGGAAUUCGCCAGAGAUGGCUUAGUGCCUUCGGGAACCGUGAGACAGGUGCUGCAUGGCUGUCGUCAGCUCGUGUUGUGAAAUGUUGGGUUAAGUCCCGCAACGAGCGCAACCCUUAUCCUUUGUUGCCAGCACGUAAUGGUGGGAACUCAAAGGAGACUGCCGGUGAUAAACCGGAGGAAGGUGGGGAUGACUCAAAGUCAUCAUGGCCCUUACGAGUAGGGCUACACACGUGCUACAAUGGCAUAUACAAAGAGAAGCGAACUCGCGAGAGCAAGCGGACCUCAUAAAGUAUGUCGUAGUCCGGAUUGGAGUCUGCAACUCGACUCCAUGAAGUCGGAAUCGCUAGUAAUCGUAGAUCAGAAUGCUACGGUGAAUACGUUCCCGGGCCUUGUACACACCGCCCGUCACACCAUGGGAGUGGGUUGCAAAAGAAGUAGGUAGCUUAAC
RNAcentral lists this ribosomal RNA (654 nucleotides) under bacterium YG-56. Its description in RNAcentral is "bacterial SSU rRNA". It matches the Rfam family "Bacterial small subunit ribosomal RNA", at positions 786 to 1439 of the family's 1533-position model. The record is from RNAcentral.